This 3376-nucleotide long non-coding RNA is filed under the name Callithrix jacchus (white-tufted-ear marmoset). Its description in RNAcentral is "lncRNA (ENSCJAG00000084595.1)". Lineage: Eukaryota; Metazoa; Chordata; Mammalia; Primates; Cebidae. The record is from RNAcentral.
AUGCACCUGAUUUCUCUGUCCCCUCACACCCGCUUGCUUCCAUUGCUCCCACCAUGGCAGUGCCCAUCUGCUCCUCCCCGCUCACUCAGGUCUGCUGCUCGGGACGCCUUUGUGUCCCCAGGUGCUGAUGGAGCUCCAGGAGCUGUCCGUGGUCCUGAAACUAUGCCGGCCGAGGCUCCGGCUGUGACUGGGCGAAUGAGCGCUGUCCGUAGUGCUGAAGAGGUUCCUGGGCCCCGGCAGUGGCGGCAGCGGUGCCUGGGAGGCCGGCAGCCGGAAGACCACCAGGUAAGGAAUCCUGGCGGAGGCUACGCUUGCAGCAGCUGCUGGUGCUCCCACAAGCAGCGAUUCUCUGCGCUCAGCUCCGUCCAACCGCCGCUCCAGCUUGUCGAUGCUCUGGCUCUGGGUGAGGACAAGGCUCUGCUGGUUCUUUUUGGUUCUUUUUCUGUUUUCUUUUGACAGAGUCUCGUUCUGCUGCCAGCCUGGAGUGCAGUGGCACGAUCUCAGCUCACUGUAACCUCUGCGUCCCAGGUUCAAGAGAUUCUUCUGACUCAGCCUCCCGAGUAGCUGAGACUACGGGUGCGUGCCACCAUUACCAGUUAAAUUUUGUAUUUUUAGUAGAGACGGGGUUUCACCGUGUUGGCCAGGAUGGUCUCGAUCUCUUGACCCCGUGAUCCACCCUACUAGGUCUCCCAAAGUGUUAGGAUUACAGGCUCGAGUCACCGCGCCCGACGAGGCUCUGCUCCUUCUGCACGAUGGCCCUGAACUCUUUGAGGUAGAGCCCGGCGCACCAGAUUCUACGGCAGCCUCUCCAAGCCGCCCACCCGCCUGUGCCCUGUGUGCGCGGGUGGCGGGGAACUUGAAGGAGCGGGAUCCUAGCAGCCCAGCGUUUGGCUUGCUUCCUUCUCCCCCGGACCUUACUUCCCUCCCGCCGCUGGCGCCACGUCACCUCCACCCUGGCCUUCACACACCCACCGUGGGGUGGUGCCAAGACACAGGGCAGCCCCUCCUGUCUUGGCGUCCAGAGGAGGCUCUUACUCGCCAGAUAUAGAGAAGAGGGAGAAAGCCAGCAAGACGUUCGGGUGUGGGAGGGAAGCAGUAUAAAUGCAGGGACUGUAGAAGGAUGGUGAAUCUGACUGGCGAGACGCAAAAGUGAGUGAGUGAGUGAGUGAAAAGGAAGCAGCCAUACUGGGAAGGUGCGGUCAGGCCGGUAGGAGAAGAGAAACAGAUAAGAAAGAAAGAGAAGGGGAGAGGCUGGCAGAGAGGAAGCGGAAAAAACGAAGGUGAGGCAAAGGGAGAGACAAACGUGCUGGAGGAGAGAAAGGUGUGAGACCCUGAAGUGGUGAAUUCUUUUCCCUGGCCCAGCCCUUCCAGAGGCCCGGGUCCAUCUAGAGACCUGCUGAGAAGAGGCCACACUGGCCUGUUUUGCUCCCAACAAUUUUAUUCUGCCAGGGAAUUCCCUAAAACUUAAGGAUCCUGGAGCUCUAAGGAACCCUAGAGAACACCUAGUGCCGCUCCUUCCUUCAGCCAUGAGGAAAGUUGGGAUGGGAAGAUUGUUCAUGCUGGUUUUCUCUGGGAAUGAGACCUCGGGACAGUUUUGGCAGUUCCUACUAGGAACACAAACUAAAUAAACCAGGCCCUCUGUGGAAAGGAUAACACUUCUAGAAACUUCUGAAUAGAUCAUUCUAUCUGACAAACAUUUACGAACUGCACACAAUUACCAAACAUUAGGCUAGAUGGCAGUAAGAUAAGGAUUAGAAGGAGAAAAUCUUUGGCUUCUUGAAGUUUAUUAAUAAGUGGGUGAAAUGGGUCAUAAUUUUGAUGUAUGGUGGUGGUGGCAGUGAUAAGGUAGAGAUUUGCCCAGAGUGCUGUAGAAGCCAGCAGCUGGGAGAUCCAGGAAUGCUUCUUGGAGGAAGUAACCCUUGAGGUGGCGAGGGUUUUCCAAGAAGGGAGAGGAUAGCAUGAGCAAAAGCUUAGAGAUAUUAAUAAUUGUGGACUGAUAAUCAUGGCCUUGUGCGCAUGCCUUGUCAUGCCAAUCCGUUAGGGAAAAUGUGAUACAUAUACACCAUGGAAUAUUAUGCAGCUAUCAAAAACACUGAGUUCAUGCCCUUUGUAGGGACAUGGAUGAAUCUGGAGAACAUUAUUCUCAGCAAACUGACACAAGAACAGAAAAUGAAAUACCGCAUGUUCUCACUCAUAGGCGGGUGAUGAAUGGUGAGAACACAUGGACACAGGGAGGGGAGCACUACACACUGGGGUCUAUUGGGGGGAAUAGGGGAGGGACAGUGUGGGGCGGGGGGAGCUGGGUAGGGAUAGCAUGGGGAGAAAUGCCAGAUGAGGGUGAAGGGGAGGAAGGCAGCAAAUCACACUGCCACGUGUGUACCUAUGCAACUAUCUUGCAUGUUCUGCACAUGUACCCCAAAACCUAAAAUGCAAUUAAAAAAAAAAAAAAGAUUUCGAGCCUUUUGUGCUCGCCUCUCCCUCCAGGACCUAUUGCGCGUGCCGCUCCCUACCCCUCCCCUAACCCGCAGUUGCCAGUAGCUACCUUGUGCCAGUACCUUGCCGCGCCAAUCCGUUAAGGUCCCAGGUCCUUAGUGCGUGAGCCUCUCCCUACAGUACCCCUUGCGCGCGCCGCCCCUUCCGUUGCCAUCAGGUGCCUUAUUGCGCGAACCUUGCCGGCUAAACCGUUAACGGCUGGCGUCCUUUGUGCGCCCACCUCUCCUUCCGGUACCUAUCAGGCGCCCCUUCUACCCCGCGCCCUCCCCCGCAGCCACUGCUCGCAGGUGCCUCAAGAGCAUAUUUUGCUCCCCACCCCCCACCCCACUUCGCAUUGCCAGCGGGUGCCUGGCGCGCAUACCUUGUCGCGGGAAUCCCAUAAGGUCACUCUUCUGGUGCGGAUCCGUCACUCUCGCCGGUCUUUGUAUGCGCCUCACUCGCUCAGGUUUGAAUGAUGCGUUUCCUGGCAACAGGAGAAUGCUCCCUUAGCCUUUGGCCGAGUUGGCAGCAGACAGGAGGACGCUCAGAGCCCAGCUCUAGAGAGCUCAAGAAUCCGAAAAUACCCCACUGCUCCCAGGAGCGGUUACCUGGGCACUCCGUACACUUUAUCCCUGUCCCAGUUCCGUCCCAGGGCCGAGGACCCGCCAGUAGGACUCAGUUGCCUUGAGCCUGCUGCCCGCAUCCCUCACUUCACUUUGCUUGUGGGGUCUCUCUGUUGCUCCCGCCCCUGGACGGAGUGGCAAGCCUUCCUACAAGUACCCAGGCACUUGGAAUCAGCCUGGUGUAGAAACAACUUCAAGGAUUUCUGUAUCCUACAAGCCCUGCGCUCCGACCGGGGAUCCUGGUUUCAAUUUGAGGCACAGGUAUGGCAGCAAGCCAGUGC